Biomphalaria glabrata is the source of this 10839-nucleotide long non-coding RNA. RefSeq lists it as uncharacterized. The record is from RefSeq and is a predicted model, not a curated record. Lineage: Eukaryota; Metazoa; Mollusca; Gastropoda; Planorbidae. The transcript has 8 exons.
GUGAAGAGCCCCACGUCCAGGCCUGGUAGUUAGAUAAAAGCCUUUCUAACCACCAAUGGGAUAAUGGCGCCUACGGCGUCGACGCCCUUCUGGACUUCACUGAAGGUAGACAACUAAAGCGUGACCUCUAUGUCGAAGGCGCCGACAGUCGCCGAUUUUGGGUUGUUUCGUUUACGCACGCACUGCUAGUUUUUAAAGAAAUUAUUUAUAAAUUUACUAACUCUGACCUAGAAGAGCGAUAAUGAAGCUAUUUUUAGGUGUUUACGCAUGUUGGAAUGAAUUUUUUAGAUUUUUUGAAAAUUACGUUUUUUUUUUGCUAGCCUUCAAAAUGGAACAUAUUUAGGCUUAUGUGUAGGCUUUAAUAGAAUAAGAUUCUAAUGGGAAUAUUAAUGUUUCAGCUGUAGAAUAUGGAUAUAAAUAAUGAUUGUGGGGCAACUUCAAAACUACUUUGUCAACUAUCCAGAGAUUCAGGGGAAUGAAAUCUUAGACUAUUUAUAAUUAAGAUGUUCCUUCAGGGUUGAAAACAACUACAUUCUAGCUUGAACGUCCCACAAGAAGAUGUGGGGUGGCAGCAGGCAGGGGUCUAACCUAGGAUCAUGGAGACCACCAAACGAUAGUCCAGAGUGUAUAUGAUUGAUUGAGUAGACAAAGAAGGGAUGGAUUACUGGAGCUAAAAGAAGGCAUAAUUUAACAAUAGACUACUUUGGGCUGCCAUUAUCCAAGAACAUAUGAUUCUCUGGAGGCUUACAUCACUGGAAAAAGUCUUUGGGCCCCUGAAGAUUACAGUACAUGUAAUGCUGCAAAAGGAGGAGGAUGCUGGGCCAGGAGUUGAAGAUAGUUUACUUCCUAGUCCAAACCUCCCUCAGGGUGACGGGGGAUGGGAGCAGGCAGGGUUUGAACUAGAGACCAUCGAUAAAUCCGAUCGACAGUCCAGCGCGCAAACUGCACGACCUGGCAGUCAGGAUCGUUAUCUGGGUAACUAUUGUCUGAUAAAUUGAAAUAAUGAUUAAGUCUAGAAGAAGUAAAACUAUGGCAUGCAUCCUGUUUGGAACUAUCUAUUCACCUAAAUUAAUUCCACUAACUUCGAUAGUAAAGCAGUUUACUUGCUAUGUUGUGAGUCUUUUUUUUAAAAAAGAUUUUAAAAAAUGAAACAUUUGUUGGUGCUUCUGCUCUGACACUGAAAAAAAAGUAGGUCUGUUGAAGUUAAUGAAUAAUAAAAACAAAGAAGAAUAUCCUGAUUAUACAUGAUUACAUUUUGUAGUGUCAUUCAAUAAGGAAAUCUACUUGAAUUGUAAGCAUGUUUCUAACCCUAAAUAUUUACUAUAUAAAUAAAUUAUGGCUUUCAUAUAGUGCUACUUUCAUGCUUAUAGCAUGCUCAGAGCACUAUGGUCCAAUCUCAUUUGUGGACCAGUGGGAGUAGGUUUUCUAACUGCCUUAAAGCACUCAGUAAACACAACUCAACUCAAGUUGUGUGUCGAACCUCUUGCCCCCUUCAUAGGCAGCCAAGCUAAGCCAAGUUCAAGCGUAGUUGGCCUCUUGACCACGCUUCCUACUAGGCUCGAUUGGUUACCUUGGUUGUGGAAAAGGAAAUAUUUAAAGUUCUUGAAGUGUUCAGUAUCCUCAUUUUGUAAUUAAACCUGAUGCAUGAUGGACAUUAAUAUUUUUACUUUAUAUUUUCAUAUGUUUCCAACUGUGAAUUGCCUCUUACUUUAAAAUUUAGCUCUAGCUGGAUAACUUUGUGCAAUAGAAAAAUUAUGUUUAGAUUUUGGAAAUUAUAAUUUAUGUGCUACAUCUUAAAUUCACUAUAUACUUGUAGAACUAUUGCUUGGAAUCUAAUUGCAAGUUUCUACUGUCGACUGUCAUACUAGAUAUGGUCUUAUGACUGCAUUAGAACCGAAACUAUAAUGGAAUCUAAUUGCAAGUUUCUACUGUCGACUGUCAUACUAGAUAUGGUCUUAUGACUGCAUUAGAACCAAAACUAUAAUGUUUGCCCCCUCCCUCCCUUCAUAUGGAAAGCAGGUAAAUCUUUCAUUUAGAGCCUAAUUAUAUAACCCUUACCGUAUUUAUACAAUAAAAGUGUACUGAGCAUGUUAUAGUAAAAAGAAGACACAUUAUAGAAAUCUUAUACAUAAGAAUUUGGAUACCAAGAAAAAAAAUCUUUUCUCUAGUGAAACUAGAUCUGUAUGGAUAAUGGUUUGCUUUUAAUCUUUAACAAUACAGCCAAUCAACCUUACUGGUACAUCUGGUAACAGGUACAUCUCUUAUGGCUAAAAUGACCAGUGUGUGUGUUUUGUAUCAAGGAUAUGCAUGUUGUUGGUUUUGAAAAAAUGUUUGAUGUGACUGCCAAGGCUUUUUACAAAUCUUUUGUAUGUGUGUAUGUGGUUUUUUUUUUCUAUUUUUUUUAAUUUUGUAUUGUAAUCGGAAUUCUUAAAUGGUGGGAAAAAAAUGUAAACCACUAUUUUGACUGUCAAAAACAGUAAACCUAAAAAAAAAUGAAUUUUGUAGUUUUAAACAAAUUGAAUCACACUUAUAACAUAUAUAAAAUAUAGAUUUAUAACAUAUUGAAUCACACUUAUAAUACAUACAGGCUGGCUGCCUGGUCGUGUGGUAUAUUGUUUGGACUUCUCGAUGGUCCUGGGUUAAUACCCUGCCUGCUGUCAUCCUGCUGGAAGUUAGGACUAGGAAGUAAAUUAUCUUCAACUCUGAAGGAACAACUAAAAUAUGUGAAACAUUUUACAAACAUUUUUUUGUCUUCCUUUCUCAACACAUACAACUCAAUUUACUUCUAUUGGCUGGAAAUAUUUAAAGCAUGACAGUGGCGUAGGUAAAUUACCAAAUAGUGGAUCUUAUGUUGGAUUGAUCAGCCCUGAUGAACUGACCUGACCAUUGUAAUUGAAACCAUAACUCAUGACCACUCUAUCUGUAUAGGUCCUGGUAUUCCCUGGGAUGAUGUUCACCCACAACUUUUAACUUGAAAUCUUAAAGGAAGUUUUGCUAAACUAACAAGCAUGAAUGUCUGGUACAGUAAGAUAGGGUUAAUGGUCAACCUGACAUUAUGGUUCAUUCAUUGGGACAGCUAAUGUUUGUGUCUGACCAAGCAGUUCUCAAGUUAGGGCUUGAUGAAGUCUACAAACUGACCAUUAUAUCUACUGGACAAAAAAAGAUCUUAUAUGUAUAUUUUAAACCUGGUCAAUGCCUAUUUCUCCACUAUUGUCGACAUCUUGAGACAUCACCAUCGGCAGAAACCGAAGACGGCUGAUACAUUUGUGUGGGUGAAAAACUGAAGGCAUCGCUCGAAGACAGCUGAUACAUUUGUGUGGGUGAAAAACUCAAGGCUUCGCUCGAAGACAGCUGAUACAUUUGUGUGGGUGUAAAAUUCAAGGCGUCGCCUGAAGACAGAUGAUACAUCGUUUCCACGUGAGCGCUCGUCACCAACUUUUGACACGCUCUUGCAUUGUCGAGGUUUCACCUUACAUUGCUAUACAGAAGGUCUUUCAUUUAGACCUCUGUUCACUUAUGGUCAUUCUAAUUUUUCAGAGACUUUACAUAUUUGGAUUAUCUAAGCUGAAGUUCUCCACUUAAGUACUGUUGGAUUAUUUAUACGAAUGUUCAAGUACUUUUGGAUUAUUGAUCUUUGACGUUGAAGUUGGACUAACUUGUACCUAUUGGCGCUCUCCUAGUCAUCGUUGUACGACGAAGAAAUAACACAUGCCUGCAUUACUACACUUACAUUUUGGAUUAUCUUAUUGGAUUAUUUGGAUUACCUGUUGGACUUGUGUUAAUUGUAAAGGUCAAGAGGAAAUAUUUUUUGACAUUACUUGAGCAUUUGAGCCAUCUUAUGGCAUAUGACUGGAUUAUUUUACUACUACUUUGAUGCUCACAUUGAUGUGUAUUCUCAAUCGAAUUACUUAGUUACCUUACCCAUGGAUUAUUAUUGAACUACUCAAGCUGUAUUUGUAUUUGACAAGCUACAAGAGAGGAUUAAUCUACAUCAGUCUACAAAAGAAAGUCUGUAAGUUAUAAUUAAGGAUUGAAUAUAUUCAUAUGAUUAAUAAAGUACAUUGAUUUUGCUGUGGUAUAGCAGUAAUUGAAGUUGAUUAUAUGUAGAGUUAGUGAUUGAUAACUCUUGGAACCAUAUUAAAUUGAUUUUCAUUUUUUAUAUUUGUUACCUUAAAGGGCGGUCGGCGUGGGUCUGUCUUAUGUUUUGAGACUGAAUCGGCACAAUUUAUUUGUUCCGUUCCAUUUCACUUCAUCUGAUAGGGAUCUUUAGGGAUUUUCUUGUUGUUCUCCUAGUCCUAAUAAGGUCCGAGUAGACCAGCCUUGUUCGGUAGGGACUUCUAGAUCAUUUUGAAAUUUUUUGUUUAGUGGUAUAUAGUUUUGUUUGUACAAUCGUAGUGUGAUUUCUCUUUGUAUUCAUAUUGUUUGUUUGUGUAAGUCUUGUAUUUACAUAUCUGUGAUUCUCUUGUCAAAGUCUUCUAUUUAUUGAUUUCUUUUAAAGCAGACUGUAUUGUUAUCUAUAUUGUUUUUGUGUUCGUCACCUAUACUUUAAUUUAUCUCUUUAUUCUCUCAUUAAUUAAUUUUUUUUUCAUUUUUUCACUGCACAUAUAACAUGUUACAAAGAUAUAUUUGAAGUAAUAAUAUUGUGUACAUAUAUACUAUCACUUGAAUUAGAGCCUUAUUUUUUGAGCUCUUGUACUUAUUUUGUAUUGACACAUUUCUCGUACUCUGAUUAUUUUGUUGGUACAUUUUGACGCAACACUUAUUACUAUUGACUCAUUUGUACAUUGUAUUUGGCACACAUUGAUUACAAACUCAACACAUUUAUUGGCCAUCUAUUAUUUAAAUAUCAAAGAUACAUGCAAAGUGAGACAUUAUUAUUUGUAUUUUGAUAACUAAGCACUCACUACACAGUUAAUACUACAUACAGAUUGGAAUCCUAUAUAUUUGUUGACUUUAUACACGUUGAAGAUUAUUUAAUAUUUAUUGACAUUAUACACACUUGAAGCCUAAACCCAUACCUAUCAACAAUGUCUAUCUAUGAUAAAAUCUUGGAGUUGGCCAGAGAAAUGGAAUUGAAGGGUGAAAAGAAAAGAGAAUUUAUCGAAAGAGAAUUGGAUGAAUUAAAGAAGAAAGAACGUGAAGUAGCGGAACGAGCGGCAGAAAGAGCGCAUCAGAAAGAAAUAGAGGGAAAAGUUGAGUUAGCUAAACUGGAAGCUGCAAAAGUGAAUCCGAACAUAUUACAACCACUGACACAGCAAGCCAAACCAUACGUCUCGAAGUUCCAUAAGUUCAAUGAGAAAAACGAAACUCUUGAAAACUACAUUGUGCAAUUUGAGCACAUAGCCUCAACGUAUGACAUGUCUCCUAGAGAUAUGGCCAAGCACCUACUCGCCAAUCUUGCAGGUGAACCGCUGAACAUAAUAGCCACCCUGACACCCGAACAAAAGACUGACUACAAGGCUGUGAAAAACAGACUCCUCGAACACUUUGGCAAAUCCGAGGACCACUACAGAAAACUCUUUCGAGACAUCAGAUUGCAAAAGAACGGUGAUUACAACAGAAUUAUUUUUUAAAUUAAGCAAAAUAUCUUAAAGUGGCUUGAACUCUCCAACUGUGAUAUGACGAGACCAGACCAAAUCAUUGAUAUGUUCUUAAUUGACAGUGUACUAUUGAAUGUUACAGACAACAUUUUCACUUUCCUGAAAGAGAAGAAAAUUAAAAACGAAACAGAACUCAUAACUAACCUGAAUUUAUUCAAAGACAGCCAUCCCAAUCACACCAUCGACAGAAGAGACCAUCAAAUAGCUGCCACCAUUAACACUGAUUCAAGUAAAUUCAAAUACAGCAGCAACAAUAAAACCUGCUUUAACUGCGGCAUAAAGGGUCACAUAAAGAGCCAAUGUAGAUCAAUCAACAGAAGCACUUUCCAGUAUCAAAGUGGCACAUAUCGAGACAAUAAAUAUGACAACAGAAGAAACAGCAGAGCAAACCAAAGUUACAGCCCUAAUGAUAGAAGAAGGCAAUACAACACCAACAACGAUAAUUACAACUUCCAGAACUAUCAAAGAAGACAGCAAUACAAUACCAACAACUUUCAGAACUAUUACAGACAAUCCAGACGUGAUGGCUACGAACGAAACAGAUACAACAGAAAUACUUCAAACAGAUGGCAAAGUAACAGCAACAAUAGAAUCCAUUAGAAUCCAUAGACGCCCUAGCAGUUAUGACAACUCAGCCGCAACCAUCGACACUCACGAACACGAACAUGUAGCAUUCAUGAACUCAACUCUAGAAAAUAAUUCCUAUCCAUUACUUACAAACGGGCUGGACAACGCAUCACGAAACAGUAACAUUAGAACUGGAAACACACAUGACACAAGUAGUUAGCAAGCUAGACAUAGGGCAGCACAACAUACAAUUUUGUUUAUUAUACAAUAGGAUACAACACCAUCACAAAAUCACUAAAUAUCAGUAAUAUAACUAAACAAUGACAUUGUUCACAUAAGUCAACAACUAUAAUUAUCACACUAUUUUACAUAAGACUAGCACCGUUAAGGACUCAUUAGCCAGUACAAGUGUAAUUCAUUGAAUCUGUUCUACAUAUAACUUUGAUUGUAUUUGUACACAUGACACUUCAAAAGGUCAUAUGUGCCCAAUUUUUGCAUAUGUGUAAAUUAUUUUUCCAAGAGUCCAUUUGAACAGAACGCAGUCAUAUUAAAACCUGAGUAUGUGACACUAUUUAUUGAAAUGUAUUUUUCAUUUUUUCAAAUGUACAUAACCUUUGUAAAUUGUAUAGAUAUGACUGUGACAUUGAUCUUCACUGAUGAAUUUAUUUUUUCCCACAUAUCAGUUUUGAAGACUAUUUGAGCUUAAUUCGAGGCUUGAAACGAUACACUUGAUGAUAUGUAAUGCAAACAAUGAUUUUUUGAAAAGAAUAUUGUAUUUAAUUAGUGAGAUGUAUUUGAGCAUUACUGAUGGCUUGAAAAAUAAUUGAUACUGUGUAAAGCAAACUGAAUCUUUGAAUAGAAGAUUGUACUUAAUAUGAGAAGUAUUGGAGCAUUAUUGAUGGCUCAUGAAGUAAUAUAUAUAAUGUGUGAUGUAAUCGCUGAUUUUUUUAGGAGAAGAUUGUAUUUAAUAUGAGAAAAUUAUUUGAGCAUUAUUGAUGGCUCGUGAAGCAAUACAUUUGAUGUGUGUCGUAGACACUGACUUUUUGAGAAGAUUGUAUUUAAUAUGAGAAAAUUAUUGGAGCAUUAUUGAUGGCUCGUGAAGUAAUAUAUUUGAUGAUGUGUGAUGUAGACACUGAUAUUUUUUGAGAAGAUUGUAUUUAAUGACAAAACUUUUGCAGCAUUAUUGAUGGCUCAAGCAGUAUAUUUUAUAUUAUGUGAUGAUAACACUAAUUUUGAGAAGAAUAUUGUAUGGAUAUGAGAAAACUAUCGAAGCAUGAUUAAUGGCUCGAAGUAAUAUACUUGAUUUUUGAAAGAACAUUGUACUUGAUUCAUGAAGACUAUUGGAGCACUAUUAAUGGCUCAAAGUAAUAUAUUUGAUUUUUGAAUAGAACAUUGUAUUUGAGUGAUGAAGACUAUUAGAGCACUAUUAAUGGCUCAAAGUAACAUAUUUGAUGUUACAUAACGUGAAAAGCUGAUUCAUUUUUUCGAGAGAAGAUUGUAACUUACACUUAUGUUAAAAGAACUUUUUGUGCUCACAGUAAGACAUAUGAGCCAAAUGAAUAUCAUGAUAACGACCUUGAUGCUUUAAUAUGCUUAUGACUUUGAUGAUUUAAAUAUGUUCCUCAUAAAUCAUCAUUAAAGAAUAUAUUUUCUUGACUUUCAUGAUUUAGUAGCAUUGUCAAAACAUUGCCAUUAUUUUUGUACAUAAACCAUUGAGACAACAUAAAUAUUUAUUAUAGAUACAUUUCACUUGCAUUGAUUUAUUUUAAAGAACAUUGUCAAUAUCUUUUCAUUUGACCAUGUAACCAUUGUCAAUAUUUUUCAUUUGAUUAUGUAACCUGAUGGGAUAAACUAAGUAUAUUUGUAUACGAGCAUUUUUCAUGGCUGCUCAUUCCUUUGUAAAAUUAAUAUUGAAAGCAUUCUUUUGAUAAAUUGAGAAUUUACUUUGAAAUUUUGUGUAAAGAAACACUUGCUUUUUGAGUAAUGUUGACAACUAUGAGUAUUGUCUACACAGACAAAUAUUUUUUCAAAUAUUGUAAGGUCAAAUGAGACCAUAUAUUAGUCUCAUCAAAUUUUUUGAUGGCAUGAUAAGACAUGUGCCAGAGAUUAUAGCACACAUUGUACAUUUGUAUGGAUUAUUUCUCUCUCAAAAGAUGUGACUAUACAUAUAAUAGUAUUAUUACUUAAAUUUCAAAAGAUUUUUACAAAAUCUUUUUUUUUUGAGGGAAAGGGCGUAAUGUCACAGUCUUAGUUGACAUUGCAUGAUCUAAAGUUCACAUCAUGUUAAUAGUUUAAAAGACACGUGGAAUUCCUAAUGUAGAAAACAGGAAGUAGAAUGAAUAAAGUUGACUUUGAAGUCAGUCAGUCAGUCAAGUAAAGCAGUCAAGUGAAGUCAAGUUAGAAGUCAAGUGUUAUUCUUUGGACCGAGUGGUCAAGUAUAUUUUAGUCCGGGAUGGACAGUAGCGACUUAGAAAAGUCUGUAGUAAUUUCAGUUAGAAAAUAACUUGUGGGCAGUUGUUGCCAGUGGUCUUUUGAGACAUGUAUUAGUUAAUCUAUAUUUCUACACAGUGUUGCCCGCUGAGAUGCAGACAUGAUUUGUUGUUAACGUAUUGGAUACUUUUGAUACCGCUGUUAUGCGGAUAGGAUUAUUAUUUCUUGACUUGUAGCACUAACAAGGAGUGCAGUAUAUUAUUAUUAUUAUAGUAAAAUAAACUUCAUGUUGUCUGCUGAACAGACUUGAGUCAGUCGUAUAGUGUUUGUCUUGUCACGUGUCUAGAGUACUUCAGGAAGUAAGAACUCAAUAUUACACCAUUCAACGUUCAUUGACAGACCCCCUCCCUCCCAACCAUUUCCUCUGCCUUAUCUUGAUGACUUUGACUUUAAUUAGACAUUAAGCUUUCCAUGUGCUGAAAUUUAGCAUUGUAGAACGGGAAAUAAAUUGUCUAUGACAGUUCAAAGUGUGUAUACAUUUUUUUUGACGCACCCUGUAAAUAUAUUGUAUUCAGUGAUUUUUUUAUUUUACCAUUUUCUAAUAUUAGUUUGUUAGCUCAAUAACUAUUAACCUUUUAGAUUGUUAUCUUUCAUAAUGUUAAGACUAGAAAACAAGAUCUCAAAAUUAUAUUUAGGAUGAUGAUUACAAUUACUUAGUCAAUUACUUAGAUAAAAUAAUUAUAAAACAAAUGUUAUAUAAAGACAUAAUUAUACAAUGUUUAUAUAAUGUAUGUUCAUAAAAAUGUGUAUAGCAGUGUUAUGGAGUGUGUGUGUGUGGGUGUUUCCAAGGUAACGUUGAGAAAUUAGCGAUUGGUUGGCGGAUAUGCAGUGAGGAUGGUGAAAUUACAAAAAUGGUCUAGUGUAAUGCAAAUUACCCAGGGAUCUGAAACUGUACAGACAGGUUUUUUGUAGUGAGUUAGAUUUUGUUUAAAAUACCAUUUUAUAUUAUUGCUACUAGAUUUAUUUCAUUUCAUCUAGGUUAGUAUUAGGGUUAGUGUUAUGUUGUAAUAAAAGUCAUAUUUAGUUUUGUUUCAAAAAAGAAGUUUUUUCAAGUUUCACAAUUAAAUAUAUAUAUAUAUCCAAGCAGUAGUUCUCACCAAACUUUCAUACACUGGCAGAACUACCUUAAAAAAAUGUUCUGCUGGAGGCUGGUGUGGGUAGUAUAGAAGAAAUACUUAUCAUUCAACAGCUGUGAUGGGUUGGAAAAUUAUCCCACAUGGGGGGCGACUGCAUGCCAAAUGGUAUCUUCAAGGAUGGCGUAACGGGGUGCUCCUGUAAGCACUAUAAAGAUUAACUCAGGCACCUUUUUGCCAUAGAGGAAAGUAGGUUGUAAUAGGGUUUAUGAAAACACUGCACUCAUCCUUUAUCUUCAGCAUCAUUAUUAUUAUUAAACCAUUACUCAAAUUUUGCUUUGUUAUUUUGCCAUGUAGAGAUUUACUGCUGGGGUGAACAAUGCUUAAAAAAAUACAAAUAUGCUGUGUUUUUACUUUGGCCCAGCGGUGGCUCCCACAUUUAUGUCUUUUGUAUUUUUCUAUUAUACCAGUUCUGUUACUGUGCAAAUGCAAAAAAAAAAAAAAAAAUACAAGUUGUUGCACUAUUGAUAUUUUUUAUACUAAUUUUUUAUUUAUAUUAUUAAUUAUUUAUUAUUAUCUAAGCAUCUGUUUGUAUUUGAAUAUAGAUUCUUAAAUUUAAUUGUUGUUUGUUGCUUUCCUCACUUUUAAACUGUGACCAUGUAAAUUUUGUCUAGAUGGAGAAUGGUAAUGUAUUAGUGUCAAUGAUUACAUUGAGAAUGGUAAUGUCUUAGUGCCAAUGAUAACAGUUAGACAAUCAUUAGAUUGAGGAUGGUAAUGUCUUAGUGUCAAUGGUGUAACACUAUGAUUAGAGUGAGAUGGACGAGAUGAUUUCAGUUCACGUGAAAAUGGGUCUUACACAUUGUCAAGCAAAGAGGUACCAUUUUUGAUCACACGACCACGUUUUUUUUUAGUAAGUUAGCGCCAUGAUGUAUCAAGAGAUGGAGGUGUCUCUGUUUUAUGAAAUUGGAUUAAAUAAUAUGAGUACCUAAUUGGAGCUUUUUCUAUGGAUGUAGUUUGUAUUUGAUAUGAAAUAAUUCGUGAUGCUAUUUUAUGGCUGAGAUUGCCUACUUUCUGAACUAUUAUUUGAUGUAAUAAAUAUUUGUCUGACA